This 547-nucleotide ribosomal RNA is filed under the name uncultured bacterium. RNAcentral describes it as "bacterial SSU rRNA". It matches the Rfam family "Bacterial small subunit ribosomal RNA", at positions 353 to 893 of the family's 1533-position model. The record is from RNAcentral.
AGUGGGGAAUUUUGGACAAUGGGCGCAAGCCUGAUCCAGCCAUUCCGCGUGCAGGAUGAAGGCCUUCGGGUUGUAAACUGCUUUUGUACGGAACGAAACGGUUCUCUCUAAUACAGGGGGCUAAUGACGGUACCGUAAGAAUAAGCACCGGCUAACUACGUGCCAGCAGCCGCGGUAAUACGUAGGGUGCAAGCGUUAAUCGGAAUUACUGGGCGUAAAGCGUGCGCAGGCGGUUUUGUAAGACAGAGGUGAAAUCCCCGGGCUCAACCUGGGAACUGCCUUUGUGACUGCAAGGCUGGAGUACGGCAGAGGGGGAUGGAAUUCCGCGUGUAGCAGUGAAAUGCGUAGAUAUGCGGAGGAACACCGAUGGCGAAGGCAAUCCCCUGGGCCUGUACUGACGCUCAUGCACGAAAGCGUGGGGAGCAAACAGGAUUAGAUACCCUGGUAGUCCACGCCCUAAACGAUGUCAACUGGUUGUUGGGUCUUCACUGACUCAGUAACGAAGCUAACGCGUGAAGUUGACCGCCUGGGGAGUACGGCCGCAAGG